Molecule: long non-coding RNA, 39457 nt
Filed under: Sorghum bicolor (sorghum)
Lineage: Eukaryota; Viridiplantae; Streptophyta; Magnoliopsida; Poales; Poaceae
Description: long non-coding RNA (SBIC_LNC013862)
Source: RNAcentral
CUGCACUUUAUAAACACGAAAACAAAAUAAAAAGAGUGUGUAGAUAAGUGUGUUUUAUUUUUCUACUAAGUUUAAUCUCUAAAAAAAAUAAUAAUAAAAAGACCAAAAAUAUACAUGAUGGAAAUGAUGAAUAGUUGCUCUGUUUGCUUACUUACAAGCACCUAGCUUUUAUAUUAGAAUUCUUCCAGGAAUUACUAAAACUAAAAUUACUAUCUUUGGGAAGCAUAAAACUAAAGUCUAGGUAAGCGAAAGGCAUGAUAUAAAGUUGAGCUACUGUUUAUCUUGUUCCUACUACACUAAGUUCUAGAGAUUUAUUUUUGAAAACUUACAAAUCACAUGAUGAGUUCCUAGCAUAACAAAAUUACCUACCACAGCCAUACUUGCUAUAACAUCUUUCACUAUAUUCACAUUGAGUUUGAUCGAGCUGUGUAGACCCUUAGGAGCUUUUCAUGUGGUUAAAUUAAGAUAUUCACUUGCACACAUCUACCACAGCAUUCAUCAUCAAUCAUUAAAAUUGCUAAAAAUAUAUUAUCACUCACUGUCCCAAAUAUUGUUAUUCUCUCUCUAAAAAGAUUCAAUGCAGAAGAGGCAUGGGUUAUGCAAAAAUAUACGAGGAAAUAAAAAAAGGGCAAGUGCCCGGAACCUCGAAAAAGAAAGAAAAAGAGUGAGACGAGAGGUAAAAAUGGACAAGUGUCCGAAGUAGAAUUAGGGGUACAAAGAUGCCCACUUGAGUGGAAAAAAUGGACAAGUGUCCGACAGUAGAAUUAGGGGUAUCUACUACCCACCUGAAAAAAAAAGAAGAAAAAGAGAUAGCCCAUGUUCUCCCAAGGCAAAGAUCAAAGAGGAGGAGAGAUAGCAAUAUGAGGAUCAAUGAGAACUAAGUUUUAUUAUCACUUAUGCAUUUUCACCAUCACUAUCAUUUACUCCAUCACACAUGCACAUCUUGAUUUAAUUAUAUGCUGAGUUCCUUUAGAUCCAUAGCUCGAUUAGACAACAUAUGUAUGAGCUGUUUUCCACUCCUAUGAGCUCCACUUAAUUAUUCUAUUAGCUAUAGGUAAGUGACAUUAUGGUAAGGAUCCACAAAUACCAUAUAUAGAGAGACUUGAGAGAAUCAUUGCUGGGAACUCUGAGUUUUAUUUUGAAAACUUAUGAAAAACUCUAGAACAAAAGUGAAGUAUAGACAAGAGGGAUAGUGCUUGACUUAACUAUUUUGUCUUUUGAUUACUUAAGAUUUAAGUGCAGGUACUAAACUCAUAACACUUCACUUUAAUCUGGAAGAAUUUUUAUGUAAAAGCAUGUGCGCCUGUCAGGAAAGAAAACAUCGAAGCAACUCCUGAUCCAUCUGAGUUUAGCUGUUUGCUCAGGGACGAGCAAAGGGUAAGCUUGGGGGAGUUUGUUGACGGUCCUUAAGUACUAAAAUUAAUAAUCAAAUAAACAUAGAAAAGGAUCAAUAUGAAACAAACAUCUAGAAUUAGGGUUUUAUCUGACAGAAUUCCACGAGUUUUGGUGUUUAUCUAUUUCUGCAGGGGUUUAUCAGAAAAUAUGGAGAGAAGGCCCACAUGUCAUGUUUACAACGAGAUAAUUACGUGCCGCGCAAUUUUCCUCAAUCUAGAAGGAUCCAGAAGCCACGGGAACGAACAGGACGCGAUUCAGGCUCGGGAGCUGGGCGGCCGCCCACCCCCCUUGGGCGCCCGCCCUGGCCAGGAAGCCAACCAGGACUCUGCUUCGGGACAACUCUCGACCGACCUAAAGGAUCAAUCUAAACCAUACAAUCUAUGUCGGUUUGAUCCAAUGGCUCACGUCCACUUGAGGGGACUAUAAAACCAGACCCCCUGGCCCCUGGAGGAGAGGAGGAGAAAUCAUUAUUCAGAGGUAGCCAUCAAAGUUAGGGUUUAGAUCUCUCUCCGACAGAGAAUUAGAAUUAGCUACUCCCUAAUCCUUCAAGUUUAGAGGUUUGAUUAGAUAGCAAUUAGAGAAGUAGUGCACUACGCUCUGGAUUCGGAUCUUUGGUAAUAAAGAUUGGUAUUAUUCAUAUCUUUCUCUAAUUCUAUUGUUCUAAUUGCAUUAUGUCUCUAAUUAUUAUGUUCUUAGUUUGCUCUAGUUCUAUAUUUGAUAUAGUUCUAAUUGAUAAUGAGUUUAUAUAUAAGUUUGCAAAGCGCUUAGCUCUUGUCGCGAGGGAGUUAAGUGAUAGAUCACAUGUGAGCGUGGUGCUUAGAUGUUAUUUAUCUGCAAAUGUAUCCUAUUGGCCGAGUCGUGUGGUAGUUCGCGAUAGUGACAGCUUCGUUGAUUCUUAUAUAGUCCACCCUCCGUUGCUAGGACAGGCAGAACCGGUAUUGUGGAGUAAGUCAUGCGAUGUUCUGAUUUACUUUAUCAAUGUUCCUUAUACAUGAAUGAAGAGUCUUUUAUGCUAUAUAUGAUCUUGUAGAUAACUAGAGUAGAUUAUGACUUAGUAGUUAGUAGAUAACUUAGAAUCCAUUCUCUAGCUAAUCCGACAUCACCUACAUAUAUGAGUAGUCUAUUUUCUAAUCGCUGUGCUAUCUACCCAUGAACUUAUGCUUUAUUAUCAUUAUCUUUAUGGUUUACCCCCUGCUAAAGUAAGUGACUGUGUGACGAGUUUCUCAUUAGUAAUCAUGUUCUUGCAAGUUUAUCACUAGUCUAUGCCUUGAUAGAUUUUGUCCCUUGAUUUAAUUCCAUCUUCUUUAGAUCCCUUGAGCAAAAUUAUAAAUAACGAUAUCUGGAAUACUUAUCCUGGUAAAAUGCUACAAUGAGGUGUUUUAUCUGUGCGCUUGCGGAUAGAAUAGAUUAUUUUCUAGAGAGCCUUUACAUUUAUAAAUACCUUUGUACACUCUGGCGCCAUGCUAGGGAUGACAACCUAGUAUCUAAGUGGUGUUAGCUAGUGUCAACACUUGCCAAGAGGUAACUUGGUAGUUAUCCUUUUCCUUUCAAUUAUUUUAAAUAGUUUACUUAGUUAAUUAAGUUCAUGCUAUCUUAAAAAGAAAAUAAAAAUGUGAAAAACAGUAAGCCCCAUUUGAGUAGACGAGUGGCAUAAAACCCAUAAGUACAUUCACUGUGGUGGCAUAAAACUAAAAUAAUUAUUUUUCUGCUCUAUAAAAAUAAAAAUAUAAAAACAGGGAGUAAUAAUUAUUAAGGAGUCUCAACAUGAUAAGGCUAGAUAUUUAUGCUAACACUUAACCAGUUCCACAAGCUUUGUUGUCUAUUUGAACUCCACAAAAUUUAAGAAUUAAGAAGACUAGCAGACGGAGGACAUUCUAAUCGCUGUCAGAAUGCUGCUGACUUUCAAAUACAUCUCUACCACCUGCUAGCUACAUCAAGAGAAAUUACGUCAAAAUUCAGCUUGGGGGAGAGCACCCCCAUUUAUCUCGAUAAGUAUUUCUAUCUAUCUAUCUUUAUACUUAUAUUAUUUUAGAAUAUAAAUAUACAUAAACUAUGGAAAACCAAAUAAAGAGUUUGUGCUUAUAUAUAUAUAUGUCUUUUGCUUAGAGUGUUUAAUAAAUAAAUAAAGUGGCUAUGCUAAUCUGUAUCUAAAUAAAACUUAAGCAUGGAUAUGAUGAAUAGUUGCUCUGCCUAAUUUGCACAUUUUAAGUUUUCUCUCAAGUUUAGACAUAACUGUUAUAAUUUAAAAGCUUGCUCUAGAUCUAAACUUGUGGAAUGAAAACUUGAUCUGAAGUCUAAGUUGUUAACGGAUACGAUAUGGGAAGGUUGAGCUGCUGUUUAUCUGUUCCUAGAGAUGCUAGAAUUCUGGAGAAUUUUAUCUUUAAAAUCUUUAAAAUAUUGCAUGAUGAGUUCUUGUAUGAUGAGAGUUUAAAUUCCUACCACAGCCAUAUAUACAUGCUUGCUAGACUUUGAGCCACACAUUUACUAUUUACUGCUUAUGAGCAUUGAGUGUGGUCAAGCUGUGUAGACCCUUAGGAGCUUGUCAUGUGGUUAAAUCAAGACUCACUUGCACGUUCACUCAUAUAUGCUACUUCUACUCCGGAAGUACCAUCCACAUAUAUCCAUCCAUUUCCAUCUCCAGAAUCACCCAAAAAUAUUCUACUCCUAAUUCGGGAGAGAAUAACCAAAAAUAUUCCUGUUUUUCCCUUGUGAAAUAAAUGCUCAAGUUAUCUUGUUACUACCACUUGCUAUAUUAUCUCAAGAAAUGAGUGCUCUAAAAAAAAUAAAAUAAAUAAAAAUACGAGGAAAUAAAAAGGACCAAGUGCUUGGAACCUCGAAAGAAAAGAAAAAGUGAGACGAGAGGUAAAAAUGGACAAGUGUCCGACAGUAGAAUUAGGGGUAUAAGAUACCCACCUGAGAGAAAAGAAAAGAAAAAGAAGAGCAUCUCAUUCUCCUCAUAAAGUUUCAAAAAGCAAGGAAGGUAUGUAUCCCCUCAAAGAGCAAAGUAGAAUUAGACUUCCACCACUAUUGUUUCCACCAUUGUUAUCACCAUUAUCACCAUACACCAUUCAUUCGCCACACAUGCACAUCUUGAUUAAACUUAUUGACUUGUUUCUUUGGAUCCAUGGUUUGACUAUGCAAUAAAUGUCUUGUAAGUAUGUAUACUUUAUCUCCCACCUAUGAGCUCCAGAUAUUAAAACCUUAUUAGAGUAGGGUGAGAGAGAAGAUUAUGUUACUAUGCUUUAUACCACAAAUACCACAUAUCUUGAGAGAAGGCAUAUACCAUCACUGCCUUGGUAAGGAUCCAGAAAUACCACAAAAGACAGAUCUGAGAGAAUCAUACAAGGAAUCUCUGAGUUUUAUUUGAAAAUCUGCAAAAACCCCAGAGCUAUAGCUGAUCAAGAAUAAGAGACAUGGCACUUGGCUAGACUGUUCUAUCUUUUAACCACUCAAGACAGAAGUGACGGUUACAAGUCCCAUGGUGAAGGUAAAGUAUGUAAGUUUUAAGUCUUGACAAUUUACUCUAACUCAGAGAUGAGAUCUUAUUUAAAAAACAUGUGUACCGUCAAUUUUUAAAUAUUGUAACAACUUAUGAUCCAUAGCUGAGUCUAUCCUUGCUCAGGGACGAGCAAGAGGUAAGCUUGGGGGAGUUUGUUGACGGUCCUUAAGUAUCAAAUUUAAUUAUCAAAUAAAUAAAGAAAAGGAUCCAAAUGAAAUCAAGAUCUAGACUUAGGGUUUUAUCUGACAGAAUUCCACGAGUUUUGGUGUUUGUCUAUUUCUGCAGGGGGUUAUCAGGAAAUACGGAAGAAAGGCCCACACGUCGGGAUUACAUAGAGAUAUUAACGUGCCGCGCAAUUAUCUUACAUCUAGAAGACUCCAGAAGCCACGAGACCGAAGCGGAGGCGAAACGGGGCCAGAGGCAGGGCCCCCGCCCUCCUGCCCUGGGCGCCCGCCCCCUCUAGGAGUCCAAUCAGGACUCUGCUUCGUGGGAGAUCUCCACCGACCUAAAGGAUGAAUCUAAACCAUACAAUCUAUGUCGGUUUGAUCCAACGGCCCAUAUUCACUUGAAGGGACUAUAAAACCAGACCCCCUGGCCCCUAGAGGAGAGAGCCUCUCAACCCUAAUUCAUUGUUCCUCAAGGGAGAAGAAGCCUCUGAUCAAGAUUAGAGCCACCACAUCAAUUAGAUAUCUAGAUUAGCAUAGCUACAUAGGAUUAGAACUAGAAGGAGUCAAUCUUCGAUUGGUUUCCGGAUCUGUCAGGAGGAUUCUUGGUAAUUCUCUAAUUGUGCUUCUAAUUACUUUCUAAUUAUCUUUGUUCUUCAAUAUUAUGAAUAUGACUUUGUUCUACUUCAAUAUAUUGCUUAUGACUUUGCUCUAUUUGCUUAUAUUCAAGAUUAUAUUGUUCUUAGUUUAUCAUAGUUAUGUACUUGGCUUAGUUAGAUUCGAUCUAUAUAUAUGCUUAGGAUCGUAUAGCGUUUAUCCAUCGGAUCCAUGGGUAAAUGAUAGAUAUUGUGUAGGCGUGGUGCUUAUACCGUAUUUAUCUACGAUUGUACCCAAUAUGCCAGAUCGUGGGGUGGUUCGUGAUAGUGACAACUUCAUUGAUUCUUAUAUAGUCCACCUCUCGUGUAUUGGGCUGGCAGAGCAACAUUAUUAUAGGGGAGUGAUUGCUAUGUUUCUCAUUUACCUUGCUAAUAUCACUAUGCAUGAGCGUAGUCUUGUCUCACAAUGAUUGCUAAGUAUGCUUGCACUAACUAUGAUAAUGCUAAACUAUAUAGUUGAGAAUAACUUAGGGAAUAUUCUUGUAGUUCGUUCUAAUACCAUGCUAAUGACUUUCUAGAGUAUCUAAUUGAGGUGCUUAUUAUAUUUAUUAUGUGGCUAGAUCAGAUUAGUUAUCCUUGUCACUAUUAUUAUUUCAUAUAUCUUUUAUGUGACACUUAUCCCUGUAUGAAGAGUUAGAUAUAAUGUUCUCAAUUAUACAUGCAAUGAUAGAUGCUCAAUCUCAUAUUCUAUUCUGUAAUCACUAUUGAUGAUUUCUAAUCCCUUCCCAGUGGUAAAAAUAUAAAUAACGAUACCUAGAAUACUUCCCGGUUAAAAUGCUACAUCGGUAUUAAUCUGUGCGCUUGCAGGUCCCAUUCAUUAUUUUUUUAGAAGAGCAAUUGCAUAUUUCAAUACCGCGUCUCGCAUGUCAUGCUGGGGAUGACAACUUGGCUUAAGUGGUGUGAGGGAUAGGUUUGGCAUUUUUGGCACCGUUACUAGAUUUAGAGAACUUAGUCUACUUUUGGUAAUGAUGUUAAGAAUACCCAACACCCGACGGUUAGCAAACCCUGUACUAGUUAAGAAAAAGAAUGGGAAAAUGAGGAUGUGUGUCGAUUAUACGAGUUUAAAUAAAGCAUGUCCAAAAGUUCCCUUUCCAUUACCACGUAUUGAUCAAAUUGUUGAUUCUACUGCGGGGUGUGAAACCCUUUCUUUUCUUGAUGCAUAUUCUGGUUACCAUCAAAUAAAAAAGAAAGAGUCCGACCAGCUCGCGACCUGUUUCAUCACACCUUUUGGGAUGUAUUGCUAUGUAACCAUGCCAUUUGGGCUUCGAAAUGCGGGAGCCACGUACCAACGCUGCAUGCUCCAUGUAUUUGGCAAGCAUAAAGGGUCGACGGUCGAGGCCUAUGUCGACGACAAAGUCGUCAAAUCAAAGCGGCAAGGAGACCUGAUCCAGGACCUCGAGAUCGCUUUUAGCUGCUUACGAGCCAACCAGAUCAAGCUCAAUCCCGGGAAAUGCGUUUUCGGUGUGCCUCGAGGCACGCUCUUGGGCUACAUUGUUUCCCAGAGCGGCAUCGAGGCCAACCCCGAGAAAGUCUCGGCCAUCACAAGAAUGGGGCCGAUUCGAGACAUCAAGGGUGUGCAGAGAGUCACGGGAUGCCUAGCGGCGCUGAGCCGUUUCAUCUCGAGAUUAGGAGAAAAGGCGUUACCGCUGUAUCGACUUCUGAAGAAGGUCGAGAGUUUUUCUUGGACCCCCGAGGCCGAGGAAGCCCUCGAAAAUCUGAAGAAAACACUGACCUCAGCACCAGUCCUGGUCCCACCUCAACCUGCGGAACCACUGCUCCUUUAUGUUGCCUCGACGACCUAGGUUGUCAGUGCAGCGGUGGUGGUCGAAAGGCAGGAGGAGGGGCAUGUGUUGCUAGUCCAGAGGCUAGUCUAUUUCGUCAGCGAGGUGCUCUCGGAGACCAAGGCACGUUACCCCCAAAUCCAGAAGUUGAUCUAUGCCGUAAUCCUCGCCCGCCGUAAGCUGCAGCACUACUUCCUCGGCCACCCUAUCACGGUGGUCUCGUCUUUCCCCCUGGGUGAGAUAAUCCAGAGUAAGGAGGCCACGGGAAGAAUAGCUAAAUGGUCGGUCGAGCUCAUGAGUGAGACUCUCACUUUUGAGCCUCGCAAGGCCAUCAAAUCGCAAUCCCUGGUGGACUUCGUCGCGGAAUGGACAGACUCCCAGCUUCCCCCGACUCAGGUCCAGUCGGAGCUGUAGACGAUGUAUUUUGACGGGUCAGUCAUGAAGACGGGAGCCGGGGCCGGCCUGCUGUUCAUCUCGCCCUUGGGCGUCCAUAUGAGGUACAUCAUCAGGAUUCACUUUGCCGCAUCUAACAAUGUCGCCGAGUACGAGGCCCUCGUCAACGGUCUCAAGAUCGCCAUCGAGCUAGGAGUCUGACGCCUCGACGUCCGAGGCGACUCCCAACUCAUCAUCGACCAAGUGAUGAAGACUUCAAGCUGCCACGACCUGAAAAUGGAGGCGUACUGCAAAGAAGUCCAUCGACUCGAGGACAAAUUCCAUGGCCUUGAGCUCGUCCAUGUCGCCCGACGUACAAUGAGGCAGCCGACGAACUCGCCAAGAUCGUGUCGACCCGAGGCACGGUACCACCUGACGUGUUCUCGAGAGAUCUUCACAAGCCAUCCGUUGACUUGGGCUCGGGGGCUGGCGACGAUGCCGCUCCUGCCUAGCCAACCGACACCGUCGACGCACUAUUGAUGGCAGCUGAGGUGAUGGAGGUAGAACAGCGGCCCGGUCGACCGUUCGACUGGCGCACACCGUUCCUCGACUGCCUAAUCCACUGCGAGCUACCAGAAGAUCGAUCUGAGGCCCGCCGUAUCGCUCGACGGGCCAAGUCAUAUGUGAUUUAUGGGGAAGGCAAUGAGCUAUAUCGACGAAGCCCGACGGGGGUCUUGCAGCGUUGCAUCACCGUGGAAGAAGGCCGGAAACUCCUCGAGGACCUACACUCGGGGGCUUGCGGCCACCACGCUGCUCCACGGACCCUCGUAGGGAACGCCUUCUGACAAGGCUUAUACUGGCCAACGGCCGUAGCAGAUGCCAUCGAGCUCGUACGCUCAUGUCAUGGGUGCUAGUUCUACGCCAAACAGACGCAUCUGCCCGCCCACGCUCUUCAGAUGAUCCCCAUCACAUGGCCAUUUGCGGUGUGGGGGCUCGACUUAGUAGGGACCCUACAAAAGGCGAAAGGAGGGUACACCCACUUGCUGGUGGCCAUCGAUAAAUUCUCCAAAUGGAUCGAGGCUCGACCCAUCACCAACAUCCGCUCCGAGCAGGCCGUCCUUUUCUUCACCGACAUCAUCCACCGGUUUGGGAUUCCCAACGUCAUCAUCACCGACAACGGCACUCAGUUCACCACCAAAAAGUUCUUGGACUUCUGCGAUCAGCAUCACAUCCGUGUGAACUGGUCUGCAGUAGCCCACCCUCGAACUAACGGCUAGGUGGAGCGGGCCAACAAAAUACACCCCAUUCUUCAUGGUCUACGGCUUUGAGGAUGUCCUCCCCACAGACCUCGAAUAUGGGUCCCCUCGACUUAAAGCGUACAACGAGCAAUCAAAUAAGGAAACUCAAGAAAACGCGGUCGACCAACUCGAGGAGGCUCGAGACAUGGCCCUCCUUAACUCUGCCAGAUAUCAGCAGAAACUUCGACGUUACCACGACAAGCACGUGAGCAAGAGGGACUUAAACAUGGGUGACCUUGUCCUACGACGGCGGCAGAGCAAUCAAGGACGCCACAAGCUAACUCCACCUUGGGAGGGCCCAUACGUGGUGGCCGAGGUCUUGAAACCAGGGACAUACAAGCUCGUGGACGAAAAGGGGGCGAUCUUCACCAACGCGUGGAACAUCGAACAGCUACAUCGAUUCUACCCCUAGAAGUUCAAAACUUUAUGUUCCUACGUACAUUCUGUACCAAGGCCUUAUAAAUGAAUGUAUGAAUAAAUGAAGCCUUUCCCUCGAGCGAUUUACUUUCUCACAAAUCCCGACGUUAGAAGGGGGUAUCAACUAUGGCCCAUCAUAGUCGAUACCCCCUCGGGGGCUACCAGGGGGGCGACCCCCCAAGUGUCGAAAAAGCCAAGAAAUUCUCUCUUCCUUACUUAGUAAACCUUGCACGUUCAAGUAGUUGAGGCGCCUCGAGCCCCUUGAGGACCGAGGGACAACGAGUCUGAGAACUCCUACGCCACCGGGCUAUGGAAACUCUACUCACUUCCCCACCCUUGAGGUGAUCGAUGCUGUUUUUUGAUGAAAGAUCGAACAAGGAAUACAAACAUAGGCGCAAAGGGAAAUAAAAGAGCCGCGAGCGGAAAGACAGAAAAAAAUUUAACAAAUACUUAAAGACACUGUAUCACUUAAAAAACAAGUUAAUAAGAGUACUAUACAAGGGGCCCAAGGCACCCAAAGCAGGCUCGCAGGCCUUAGUCUUCAGCACGAUCCUCACCACCGUUGCCUGCGCCCAAGCUAGUCUCAGGAGGAAGCACCUCAGGCUCAAAUAGCAUGGCCAGCCUCUCUCCAGGAACCUCCGUGUCGUCGAUCAAGGUGUGGAGCCUCUCUUCGUUCUCCGCGUCGGUCUUAGAGAUGUCGGUGAUGAAGCCGUGGGACACCACCUCCAUGUCGUAGGAGAAGCCCGAGCAGACAACCGCCAUCGCCUGCUUCACCCCGAUGUGGAGGGCAUCCCGCACCCGAUCUCGCAGUGUCGCGCCUAAGUAGCACAGCUGGUCGACCAGUGCGUCGCCUCGAGCGUCCUCCUUCGACUCGUCCAUAGGCUCGAUCUCCCAAGAGGUCGAGAGGUCGCUUAUCGCCGUCCGCACUCGACGGUUCAAAACAACCUCCGCCUCGAGCUGGGCCUUAGCACUACAGGCCUCGAUUUGGGCGGCUAAAAGUUUGUCCUUAAGCCCUGUAAAUGGCAAUACAAGAAACUUUAGGAAAAGCCAAGCACACCUCGAAAAAGAAAUCCGAUAAUGGGAAUGUACCGCGGACACUCUCCUCUAGGGCCGUGUUCUCGCCGACUAAUCUGGUGUUGGCCCUCUCGAUCUCUUUGUUGGAGCGUGCCAGCUCAGUGUUGGCAACGCAGAGAUCCUCGAUCUCCUUGCCAGCCUAAGCAAUGGCCCCACUCUUCUCCAAUAGCUCUCCCUUCAGACGUUCGACGUCGUCAGAGAGCCUGCGGGAUCGAGCCCGCUCCGCCUCGAGGUCUUCGAGGGCCUUCUUCUUUGCGUCCUCUGCAGCACCCCUGGCGACCUCGCUGUCCACAUACGCCACCUUCAUCUUUUGGAAGGAUUCUCGGAGGGAGUCCAGGUCGGUCUUGAGAAGGCCCUUCUCCUUGUCCAGAUCGGCAAUGACAUUCUUGUAGGACAGGGCCUCCUCCCGGGCUUUGGAUGCGGCCUCCUCGACCGUCAGAGCCCGCUGCCGCAGCAGCGUCGUCUCCUCCUCUGCUUUCCUUGAGGCCUCUCAAGCCUUGACCAAGGCAGCCUCCCUCGCCUUCUUCUCCUCCUCGAGCGCUAUGAGGUCUUUAUAGGCCUUAAGGAGCUUUUCUUGCGACUCGAGGAGUUGGUCCUUGAGGACGGGUAGCUGCUCCCAGCCUCCUCUUGUGGCGUGAAUGAAGCUCGACUUGAUACGGGAGGUCUCUUUCAUGUCCUGCGAACCGGGGGUCGAACGGUUAGAACACGAAACCAAAGGAUCUAUGAGAAUUAAGGACCGAAAAAUACUUACGAAGUAGGCCGGCCCGAGCCCGUUGUUGAUGAAGUCCGACAGGAGCCCCACCACGUGCUUCAUCCAAAGGCGGAGCUCCUCGACGUGUUCCCAUUUCUCCGCCUCCUUCCUAUCGUCCAGGAAGAUGUUGGGCUCGGACAGAUCGGUGGAAGCCUGGAUGCGGAUCCGAUCGGGGCACCAGUUCUCCAUCUCCUGGUCAGCCCGCGCCUUGACGCUGCGGAUAAGGUCCUCGAUGGUCUCGAGGGAGCCCCCAGGGCGCAAGAACAGGUCGACGAGGCAUGGGAACCGCCCGUCGUCGUCCACCGUCUUCCAGGUACCAUCCUUACUCCCCGACGUCCCGAUCUCGUCCUCCUUAGAGGGAAAACGGUCCCCCCACGCCCGACGCUCCCGGAGGAACCCUGGGGCGAUCCCGUCCACGCCGUAGAUCGUCCUCCUGAUCUCGGACUCGGGGUCGGCGGGGGUGCGCAUCAAGCAGGCAAGUGCCACCACACCGUCCGCUCGCCCUGGCUCUGCCCGGAUCGCGGCGGGCGCCCCCGGAAGAAGCCACGCUGGGGUUGGAGGGCCGUACACCAGCAAAUCCUCUGCCUGUUCUCCGGGCUCUUGCGGCGCCGGUGGUACUGGUUGGGGCAGACCUUGAGGCGGGGGCUCGAGCGGUCCUUCUUCUUGGCCCCCCUCAUGCUGCUGCUGCUGCCCCUCGAGCAUCUGCUGCUGUUGCUCCACCUGCUGCUGCUGCUGUUGCUGCUACUGCUGCUGCUGCUGUUGUUGCUCCUCGUGCUCCUGCGGCUCUCGUUGGCGGCCCUGCUCCUACAGUUGCUGCCUUGCCUCGCGCUCCCGCUCCUCCGCCUCUUCUUUCCUCUUCUGCUCCUCGAGGGCGCGAAGACCAGCAGGCCAGGGUGUCCGUCCCGCGUCGAGGGAAGUCGACGCCUCCUCAUCCAUAGGGUGGACAUUCCUCGACGUCUCGUUGCCGCUAGACGUGUCGCUAAUAGUAAUGGGAUCCCCCUCGACCCCCGAUCGGGGAGGCUCGGGGGCUCCAUCUUGCCCCUAGGUCUGGGGGACCUCGGCCCGUGUCGGCGGUGACGGGACAAGCUCGGGACGAGGCGGGGCGCUCUCAGCGUCGGCCGGAGGCUGAGAGUCGGAGGAGCCUAUAAAACGUCACUGAAAAGACCAACGUAAGAACAUCACAAGUCCCAUAGGUAAGCCACAAACCUGGCUGCUUGGAGGCUACUCCCGCUUUGAGCCUCUUCGCCAUUGAAGGCUGAGCUUGCUCGAGUGUCCGCUUUAAUCUGAAACAAAAGGAACAAGCGUAAAAAGACCGGUAUACGAGGAAACGCAGAGGAACAGGAGAACAAAAGUCACAACGUCGAAGAGCUUACCCCACGGGGAGAACAGCUCGCCUGCCGAUGCCCCGACCGGUGGGCCUCGAGCCACCCCGUGUCAAGGUCCCAGACCCCUCGAGGACAGGCGUUGGCCUUGGCCCAGCAACUUCCGCCUGGGGGGCACCGGGACUGGCGCUCCUGCGGCCAGUGUCUCCUUUCUCGGAGGCCGCGGCACGACUGCGAGUCAGUGGCCCCGUCGCCUGGGGCCUAGCAUGGCCACCCGUCUUGGGCACGGGGGGAGGGCGCGGGGCGCCUUGACCAGUUGCAGGCACCGGGGGGUGUCGGCACAAGGGCGAAGAGAUCCGCCUGAUCCCUCUUUUGGUGUUUCCAUCCGCGGGGCGUCGACGUCACCUCGAGGCGGACCCUCGAGGAUGUGGUCAAGGCGAGACGCCAUCCCCUCGGAGUCAUCAUUGUCCUCGUCAUCAUCACCAUCAUCGUCGCUGGGGGACUCUUCCUCAGGCUCUCCCCUCUGCCUGGAUUUAGACCGACACGCCUCUAAUGCUUGGCGGUUGAGGUUUUUCUUUUUUUCCCCUUUCUUCUUAGAGUCCUUGGUGGACUUUAGCUUCUCGGCGGACCGGCGCCGCGCGUCACGGUCAACCUCGUCCUCCUUUACUGGAGGCCUCGAGGACCGGACAUCAAUUCGUCCCUGCCAGAACAAAGGUGGACUUAGAAAAAAGGGAAGAAAAGAAAUCCAGAAUCGAAGCUGCGCACGAAAAGAAAGCAUACCAGAUCGAUCGAGCCUGUAUCUAGCCUCAUGGGGAAGCCAUUAACGUGCUCCGGCUUGAAGUCACCAGCAAUGGCGGCCCUGACCCGGGCCAUGACUUCGUCGUUCGCCAGAGCCUCGCUUGACAUCCGACAUGCCUCGAGGUCCCGAGAUGAGACACCGGGAGCCAUCUCGUCCAUCCUCAGCGGUCGAGACAUCAACGGGAGAAAUCUCCGGUGAUGGACGGCUGAGAGGACGAGGGCGGCGGUCAAGCCUUCCGAGCGCAGUUUCUUCAUGACGUCGAGGAGGGGGUCGAGCCGAGAUUGAUGAACCUGGACGACGCCGUACAUCCAAUUCUCCGGACGCUCCGUGAUCAGACGCCCGAUGUAGGCGGGCAGGAGGUCGUCGUCGUUUCUUAAGUAAAACCACUGGGAAUCCCAGCCGACGUGGUUGGUCGACAGUCCCACCGGGAUGUACUCGCGCGCCCUCUCCGUCUUCCCGGUCUUCAACACGAGGUUGAGGCAACCUGCCCGAACAGGUUUCCUCACGCCGGUGGUCCCAGUGGGGGCGUUGAAGAGCUCGCCCUUGUAGAGGUGGAGCCACAGCUCCCAGUGGGGCAUCAUCCCCAAAUAGCCCUCACACACCGCGGCGAAGACUGCCGCAACGGUGAUGGCGUUUGGGGAGAAGUGCUGAAGCUCCACCCCGUAGUGGUGGCAGAGCGCCCGCAUGAAGCGGCUCGGGGGAGCGCCCAGUCCAUGGCGGUGGAACUUGGCGAACGAAACCACAUAGCCCUUGGGCGGUCUGGGCUCCCUGUGGUCUGCCGGCGGCGCGAUCCACUCCGGCGACGACAGCGAGGUGCGGCGGCGCAGGAGUCCCUCCCUCUCGAGCUCUUGCAGCCGGCGCUCCGUCAUCGACGACGGGCGCCAGUCAUCGGCGGCGACAAGUCUCACAGGCAUCCUAGCCGGAAGGAUGGCGGAUCCGCUACUACUCGAGGGGGUGUGCGCGCGUGAGACGGCAAGAAAGCUAAGACGGCGAGAGGGCUAAGGAAAGAAUGAAGACGGGAGGCAGAAGAAAGAACGACGGCGGCGCCACGUCGUAUUUAUAGGCAGCAGUCCGCCAACGGAUAGAUCUGAGAAAUGAGGUAACUCCCCCCAUAAAUGCGCCAUCUAACAGUCCUUUCCCCCCUUCAUAGGUAGGGCACUCCGAAUUCCAUGCCGACGCAGUGUCGUAACGUCUCCACCUAAAAAGGCGCGCCCAACGGGCAAAAAGGCGAACCGCCACGACUCCUUCCUUACCUUGUAAGCCAAGGGAUGUGCCCACAAGAGUCUCGAGAGGUCGAUGGCUGGCCCAUCGAAAGGGUUCGACAGCCGAUCUCGAGCACCAGAGUCAGGGAUCCCCAGCGAGCGGUCGAAGAUCGAGGCCCGCCUCGAAGACUCGCUGGCGAUGUCCAAGGUAGGGUCGAGACAGUCGAGAGGAAUCCCCCCGACGGGAGGCGUCGAGCCGCAGGACUCUAUCAAAUGAGACUAGUAUCCCCAACCACGUCGACCCUGCUUUAUGAGAACGCCUCCGGGCUACAGCUGACCCCCUCGAAAGGGGCACAGGUUCUCACUUGGACUACCCGCUAGGAACUCAAUUUGGGGUGGAAGACGCUCGCUCUAUCGAGAGUACGUCGAAACCUCCGCACGAAACGAGCCAAUCAGAACCUUCCACCACUGGUGUCGACAGUGUUUCUACAAAUUAGGCAAUAUAACCCUCGUAGGAGUCAAAAACUCCUCCAAGGGCUCGGGGGCUACCCCCGCGGGGUCGCUCGCGCGCCCCCACGGAAACUCGACCAAUGAAUACAGCCUCCACUCGAGCGCCAACGCUCAAAUGGAGACUCGGGGGCUACUGUCGAGGGUAUCAGUAAGGGGUAUCCUAACUGAUGCACCUAACGAGAUUACCCAUACACAGAUCGAGGCCCACAACUCGAUGCUCUGGUCAGCCACACAUACAGUCAUCGACGACCGCAGCCUCGAAGACGGAAAAGGUGUCGAGCGAAUCGCUCAGGGGUCGAGCGCCAACUAUCGUCGAAUACGGAAAUAGGCUCGAGCGAAUCGGGAAGCGUCGAGUGCAAGGACACUGUCCGCCGCCUGACGCGCGCACGAGAUCUAGGGCAUUUAAUGCGCCUGUCGCUUUCCCACCUAACGCGCUGGUCACGGGAAGCGUGAUAGGGAACAGGCACCCGUCCAGUCGUUCUUUUUGCUGCCUUCCCCACCAAACGAUCCAGGGCGUGUCAGCACGCGGGAAACAGGGAUGGAACGUCUAAUCAGGACCCCCUCGAGUGAACCGAGGUCAGCGCUCCGGAUAUCAGGGCGUUGCACGGCGUCUGACCCUCGACCAGACAUGGUUCCUUCUUGGGGACGAGUCGGGCGUCGAGUGACAACGCCGCAGCCACUCCGCCGGAUCUGCCGCCAUACCGUACAGGCGUGCGACCGGAGAACCAGCCCAAGACGGCGCGCAGAGCAGGAUACAGGGGCACGCGUAAUCAUCAUCAAGCUACCGAGAUGGGACGGCUCGAGACCACGCCGGUACAGAGGCCUCGAGUAGGUCAGCGCGCCAUGCCUCUAUCGACCCCUACUCUGACACCUAUACAUGUACCCUAGGUCUCUCCUUCGUGCUAUAAAAGGAAGAACCCGGGAAUAGAUACGCAACACUACACACAUACGCAGUAGAACUCCCAUACUCCAUACCACGCUUGUAUUCGCCCCAGUAUAAGCACUUAGGUGCAAGAUAAUACAAACUUCCCUCCCCCGCUGGACGUAGGGCCUUCUCUUGCCCGAACCAGGAUAAAUCUCUGUGUCUUCUUGCAUCACCAUCUAGGAAAGGGAGCACGCAUACAAAUUUAGUCGUUGGUGUGACCCCCCGUGGGGAAAACACCGACAACAGUGCUAUUAACCGUGCCUUGAUCAAUCAAGCUGGUGUGCUGUCCAACACGGUUUUCAAUGUAGUGGCUAGAACUUUCAAGGAAGGGCAAUUGCCACCAAAUUAUGUGGGUCCUUCCUAUCAUCAGCGAGGGUCAUCAUUGGUUACAGCUCCAUCGGCUACUACAGCCGUUGCGGGUACAGAAGCUACUUCUCCUCCAAGCACAUUAGGGAUCACUAAUGCACAAUCUACACCAAUGACGACCAAUCCAUCAACAUCAGACGGGCAAAUCAAGCUUGCCACAGAUCUACUGGCAUCAGCAAUGUCGGGAUCUGUUCCUCUCAACUGGUGGGGUUAUGGCAUGCCCCCAGAGAUGAUGGCAAAAACUCCUGGAACAUCUCAAGUGACCGAUAUGACAGGCAAGGCUCCUAUGACAUCGGCACCUCCAAAUCCGCCAAUGAAUUAGAGUCCCCAGUAUACUACAACUACUACUGCAAGACCUUACACUAGGAAUUCUCAAACUCCAAUGUUUCAGAUGCCUAAUGCAUCGGCAGAUUCAAUGCCGACGCAACAGAGGUUUAUGACACAGCCAGGGUAUGUCAAUUCGAUGAUGAUGCCCAAUUACUAGUCAUCGGCAGGGCUUAUGCCAAUGAAUGCUAACAAUGGAUGGACAGGGCAGUUAGUCUUUCCACAGAUGCCUCAGCAGAAUCAUCAGGCUGUAGGGUUUGAACAAGGCCAAAUCCAACCUGGGUUUCAAAAUCAAGGGUUGGUCAACCAGCCGAUGAAUCUUGGUCAGCAGAUUUGUGGUCAGAUGGUUAAUCCAAUGUUCCAUGCAGAUCGUGCACCUCAGAGACACGUGGAUGCAUAUCAGCAGGUGCCAGAUCCACCACCGCCUCAUCAGCAAGAUGCCAAUGCUUACUGGGCUGAUAAGAUAGGUGAAGUUAUGAGAGACCAGUUUGCGAUAAAACCCAAAGUCAACACUUACUCUUAUCGAACACCGUAUCCUCCCGCAUAUGACCUCAUUCCGCUUCCAAAUCAGUACAAGGUACCCGAUUUCACAAAGUUUUCUGGAUAGGAUCACACAUCAACCAUGGAGCACAUUAACAGGUUCAUCAUCCAAUGUGGGGAGGCUGCUAACAGAGACGAGCUAAGGGUUUGCUUGUUCUCGUCAUCUUUGUCUGGAUCGGCCUUUACUUGGUUUAUAUCGUUACCUCCCAACUUGGUGAUCACUUAGGCCGAUCUAGAAAAACAAUUCCAUAAAUACUUCUUUUCUGGAGUUCAUGAAAAGAAGAUCACCGAUUUGGUCAGGCUGAAGCAACGCAAUGAUGAAUCGGUUGAAAGUUUUGUGCAAAGAUUACGAGAAGUUAAGAAUAAAUGCUAUAGUCGGGUUCUGGAUGAUCGGCAGCUAGCCGAUUUGGCUUUUUAGGGAUUGUUGCCACAUAUCAAAGAUAAGUAUGCUUCUCAGGAGUUCGAGAGCCUAAGUCACUUGUUGCAGAGGAUUUCUGACCAAGCUAUCAAACCCUUUGAGCCCAAGAGAGCAUGGAAUAAAAAGGUGUCAUUUGUCGAUGAGGCAACAAGCUCAGAUUCUGAUGAAGAGCCAGUCAUCGGCUUGGCAGAGUGAGUAAAGAACAAGAAGCCGAUGUCUUGCCCAUUUGGGCAUAAAGAGCCAGAGAAAUUUGCAUUCGAUAUCACCAAAGCCGAUAGGAUAUUUGAUUUUCUACUCCAGGAAGGUCAAAUCAAGUUGUCACCAAAUCAUGUAAUUCCAUCGGCUGAGGAAUUAAAGAAGAUCAAAUAUUGCAAGUGGCACAAUGCAACAUCCCACAGCACAAAUGAGUGCAAAGUUUUCAGGCAACAGCUGCAAUCGGCUAUAGAAUCUGGAAGAAUCAAGUUUGAUUAUUCUAAAGCUCAGAAGCCAAUGAAGAUCAAUCAACAUCCUUUCCCUACAAAUAUGUUGGAUGCUAAGGGAAAAACCAAGGUCUUGACGUCAGAAGCCGCUGAGACAAGUGCAUCGAUGGAUCCUCAACAUCAGAUUACUGUUGUCGAUGCCAAAGGAAAGGGUUUGAUCAAGGAAGAAACUAGCUUGGGAAGGCCUCCCCGAUCUGGCGUUAUGAUAACUCAUAGAAGGCAUCGGGGAACUUGGCAGCAACGUGAAGAUCGGUAUCGGCGCCAAGAAGAAGAUUAUCGUCGGGAGGAGGAAAGGCGCCGACAGGAGUGGAAUCGACAUAAAGAUCACUGGAACUGCCCAUUCUUUAUCCAUUGUUGGGAGCAAAACAUUAAAUUGCCCACUGUUAGAGAUUGCCCUGAAUGCAAUGGUUACGAUCGGUAUGAUAGACCUAAUCGGCAGUAUCAGAAUGAUGAUCGGCAAUUUAAUGGGCCGAUUAAGGGGAGAGCUUUAGUUCAUGAUCGGCUGGGGGGCAAAAUCAGUGUGCAUGAUAGACUUGGUGACCGUAUCGGGUACUUUCCUAGGAACCAAGAGGAACUUGAGGAGAUGGCAGAUGCACGAGUUCGCGAUGAGUUCAUAUUCUGCAGGGAUGCUAAUACCUACUGAGUGGAGUCAAGGGAAAAUUGUCAUCAAUCGGUGAAACAGCCGCAAUGGUGUCUAGAGGGGUUGACUAGAACGCAGAAAAGAAGGUUGCAGCGUGAAAGACGAGAGGAUUUGAGCAGAGGAGAGAUUUCUGGUAAGUCUGGAGAUCAGCAGCAGCUGGAUCCUAAAGGAAAAGGGCCAUCGGCAGAUGUCAACAUGGUAUUUAUGUUGCCAAUGGAAUUCCUUGCACCAUCCAGUGAUGAUGAGGAGUUGGAUUUUUCCGACCAGAUAGCUCAGUUGACUCUGGAUCCGAUGACGGCUAUCUUUGAAAAGCCUGCCGACAAUGAAAGGUAGCAUCUUAAGGCUCUAUUCGUCAAAAGAAGGGUUGAUGGGCAGCCAAUGACCAAGAUAUUAGUCGAUGGUGGGGCCGCUAUCAAUAUUAUGCCAUAUGCAGUCUAUCGGAAGCUUGGGAAAUGAGAUCAAGAUUUAACCAAGACUGAUAUGAUGCUAAAGGACUUCGAAGGGAAUGUGUCUCUGGUUAAGGGGGCGAUAUGCAUCGAGUUGACCAUCGGCAGCAAAACCUUGCCGACGACUUUCUUCGUGAUUAGUGGAAAGGGUGCUUAUAAUCUGCUACUAGGGAGAGAUUGGAUCCAUGCCAAUUGUUGCGUCCCAUCAACAAUGCACCAAUGCUUGGUUCAGUGGGUAGGUGACAAGAUUGAGAUUGUCUCGGGAGAUUCUUCUUAUGUCAUCGCAUCGGCAGAGGCAGGUACUUAUGAAAGGACCAGGUGCAUCUCAGCAGAAGUUUGGGAAAAGGAUUUCCUCAAGAUUGUCGAUUAUGAAAUUCCACCGAUCCAAGCAGUCAGUUCUGAUGAUGAAUUUUAUUGGAUAGGUUCGACGAUGAUGGAAAAUUAGGCCAGGGGUUCACAUCGGCCGAUGAUUUAGUAGAAGUAGAUAUAGGUAAUGGAGAUAAGCCUAGACCUACUUCUAUUAGUGCUAAGUUAGAUUCUGAGUGUAAGCAACAGUUAUCCGAUUUGUUAAAGGAAUAUAAAGAUUGCUUUGCUUGGGAUUAUACUGAGAUGCCUGGUAUAGACCGAUCAAUUGUUGAAGAUAGGUUGUGUCGAGGAUAUCAGUAAGGGGUACCCUAACUGAUGUGCAUAUCGAGAAUAUCCGUACGCAAGUCGAAGCCUCCAACUCGACGCCCUACCUAGUUGUGUGCACGGCCCUCGACGACUAGUAGUCUUGAACACGGAAAGAGCGUCCUGCGAAUCGACCAGGGCUCGGGCGCCGGCUACCGUCGAAUACGGAAAUAGGCUCAUAUGAAUCUGAAGGCCUCGAGCGCAAGGACGCCGCCCGCCGCCUGACACGGGAACUGGGACCAGGGCAUUUAAUGUGCCUGACGCAUUCUCACCUAACCCGUCAGUCACGGGAAGCGUGAUAGGGAACAGGCAUCCGUCCCGUCGUUCCUUUUGCAGCCUUCCCCACCAAAUAAGCCAAAACGUGGCAGGACGCAGAGAAUGGGUCGGAAUGUCUAAUCAAAACCCCCCUCGAGACGUCCAAGGUCAGCGCUCUGGCCAGCAAGGCGUACAUGGCGCCUGACCCUCGAGUAGGCAUUUCUCCUUCCUGGGGAAGGGUCGGGCGUCGAAUGACGACACUUCAACCACUCCAACGUAGCUGCUACCACGACGUACAAGCAUGCAACACAUAAGUCAAUCCAGGACGGUGCACAGAAGCGGGAUUCAGGGGCACGCGUAAUCAUCAUCAAGGCACCAAGACGGGACGGCUCGAGGCCACGCCGGUAUGAAGGCCUCGAGUAGGUCAGCGCGCCAUACCUCUAUCAACCCCUACUCUGUCGCCUAUACAUGUACCCUAGACCCCUCCUUGGAACUAUAAAAGGAGAGGUCCGGGAGCGAUACAACACAGGACAUACGUAGUAGAGCAACCUCACCCCAUCUCAGUCCAUACCACGCUUGUAUUCACCCCUGUACAAGCACUUAGGUGCAGAAUAAUACAAACACUCUCCCCCCGCUGGACGUAGGGCCUUCUCUUGCCCGAACCAGGAUAAAUCUUUGUGUCUUUUUGCAUCACCAUCUGGAAAAGGGAGCACGCAUGCAAGUUUUACUCGUUGGUGUGACCCCCCGAGGGAAAACAUCGACAGUUGGCGCGCCAGGUAGGGGUCCUGCGUGUUUUUUUUCACCAAUUUCCCAUUCCUUUCUAGAUGGCCACUCUCAUUUCGCCAAUUCCACGCUCCACGGUGAUUUGGUUCGGGAGCCUCGAGUUCAUGUCCACCGGCUUUGGCUAUGACAUGAUCCUGCUCUCGGUCAAAGGACCGGGAGGAGCUCGCGUUGCGCCAGCACGAUUGAGGGCUCCAAGACGUCCUCGCCACCACGCCUCCCCACCCAAGAAGAGGUGUGGACAGCGCCACCAUCACCUCUCUGCCUCGUCACGACCGACAGUUCGUGCCAGGCAGGAGGUGACACAGGAGCCGACAGCUCCGCGCGCCGAAACUGCGGGUACGACGAUCCAACACCACGACGAUCGCACGACAACGAUGGGAGAUGGCGCGCCCCGCGCGCUCUCGCCCGCCGCAACGCUACUUCCACACGGGCUAUUCACCCCAAGAAGAACGUUGUUGUUCGGCCUGGACAACGCCGCGGCAUCGCUCGCCAGAGCAAUUUGUCCGAACGCCCAGACUUACGUGGAGAGACCAAUGGUCCUCCCACGCGAUACUGGAGCACAGCAACAGACGUCCGAGCUGCCGGAUUUCUCUCAGGUACGAGGCCUCCGCCGCCUAGGUCCUGGGCGGUACACGAUCACCUCACUCAGGCAACGGCUGCUGGAGGAGGGACGUGGAUGCUUCUACGCCGCCGAGCCGGACUCCGACUCUGAGUCCGACAGCUACGACCCUACUAGGGAAUGCUUCCAUAUCGACGGGGCGGUAGAAACUACAGACGAGAAGCAAGACGCCGUUGCUGGCGGCCGAGCCCCUACGGCAGGGGAAGACCCCAGGACGCCUGGGAAUGAUGGUCAGAUCGACCCCCCUCCACAAGAAGACAGAGCCACGCAACUUGCGCAGUUACGAGAGCUCAUAACAGAGCUCGACGAGGAUCGCGAGCGCCUUGUCCUGCUUGAACAGAUCCUCGAGCAGGACCAGCCAUACCCGCCUGGCGGAAGUGCCGCAGACGGGCUCGAGAAGUACAACGACAUAUCGUCGGAGACGGGGAGCCUGAGCAGCCCAUUAGCCGUUUCCCACGAGCAGGCCAGAACGUCGUCGCCGCGACAAUGCUGCUGCGCAAUAUGCCCGAGCCUUCGAACUCUCAAGCACGAUGCAUUCGAGACAAAGUACAGACUCUGCUUCAAGUAGCGGCAGUUCAGCAGGCCGAGAGCUCGGCCUCUCGACGACGAGGAGCGGCCACAGAGAAGUGUGAUGAGCCAGCCCAUAAUGAAAAGGAAGUAUCGGUCCAUCAACAGCCGCCCCCUCGAGGGAAAAAGACAGCGCUCGUCCUCCACCACCCCGUCGACAACCAACGAUGGCACGACGCACGACGCGACAUCGACGAAAAUCAUCGCCGUCGAUAUGGGGACGCGGAAGAGCGCGGUUACAGCGCUCACAGCGGUGGGCGGUACGACAGCGACGGGGACAGGAUGGCCCCGGAGCCGCCGGGCCCUCGCGUGUUCAGCAGAGCAAUCCACAGCACACCGCUGCCCAGCCCGUUCUGACCCCCGACCAGCAUUGCUAAAUACAACGGCGACACCAAGCCAGAGCUAUGGCUGGCAGACUUUAGGCUAGCCUAUCAGCUGGAAGGCGCUCGAGGGGACGAUCGAGCCAUCAUCCGACAGCUACCGCUCUUCCUCUCCGACACCGCACGCAGAUGGCUCAAGGAGCUCCCGGCCAACCAGAUCCACGAUUGGACCGACUUGGUCAGAGUGUUCGAUGGCAAUUUCAAGGGGACCUACAUACGGCCCGGCAACUCGUGGGACCUCAGCAAGUGCAAGCAGAAGUCAUGAGAAACUCUCUGGGGGUAUGCUCGACGCUUCUCGAAGCAGCGAACCGAGCUGCCACACAUCCCCGACCACGACGUCAUCCUGGCCUUCGUCUCUGGCACCACCGGUCGAGACUUGGUGCGGGAAUUAGGCCGGAAUCGUCCUUAGACCGUCGAUGAGCUGAUGGACGUAGUGGCAAACUACGCUGCAGGGGAAGAAGCGGUAGGCGCCUUCUUCAGUUGUGAAGGAAGGAAAGGCAAGCCGUCCGCCGAUGAUGAUGAGGGCCCCAGUCAAGGUCCCAAGAAGAACAAAAAGAAGAAGAAAACAUGGCUGUUCUAGCGGGAGGACCUCGACGACGAUCUCGUCACCGCCAUGGAGCGCAAAAGGCCUUGAGGACCACUAGAGGGGGCUAUCUUUGACAAGAUGUUAAAGGAGCCAUGUCCUUACCAUAAGGGAGGGGCAAACCACAAGCUCGAGGACUGCCGUAUGCUGAAGAAGCACUUCGACGGCCUGGGGUUCAAGAAGGACGCCCGUGACGACUCGAAGAAAGAGAAGAACGGCGACAAGGGGGACGACAAAGACGACAAAGGCUUCCCAGCCCUCCACGAUUGCUACAUGAUCUAUGAUGGACCCUCGACGCAGCUAACCGCAAGGCAGCGCAAGAGGGAGUGUCGUGAGGUCUUUGCGGCAAGGUUGGCAGUGCCCCAAUACCUCAGCUGGUCAAGCACCCCCAUCACCUUCGUUCGAGACGACCACCCCGACAAGGUAAUUGCCCCUGGCGUCUACCCACUCGUUGUCGACCCCAUCAUCGUCCACACCAGACUCUCGAAGGUGUUGAUGGAUGGCGACAGCAGCCUGAACAUCAUCUACCUCAACACCCUCGACCUUCUCCGCAUCAACAGGGCGCAGCUCCAACCAAGCGCCAGCGUCUUCCAUGGUGUCGUACCUGGAAAGAAGGCGUUGCCGGUAGGUCGAAUCGACCUGCCGGUCUGUUUUGGCACGGCGGCCAAUUUCAGAAAGGAGACCCUCACUUUUGAGGUGGUGGGGUUCCGAGGCACAUACCACAUCAUCAUUGGGCGCCCGGGCUACGCCAAGUUCAUGGCCAUCCCCAACUACACCUACCUGAAGCUGAAGAUGCUCGGACCCAAGGGCGUCAUCACCGUCAGCUCCUCCUACCAGCAUGCGUACGAAUGUGACGUCGAGUGCGUAGAGUAUGGGGAGGCUGUCGAGAGCUCCGCCGAACUCGCCUCGAAGCGCAAAGCCCUAGCCGCAGAAGCUCCAGAGCCCAAGCGCCACGCGGGCAGCUUCGAGCUGGUAGAAGGAACAAAGAAGAUUCUGCUCGACCCCGACAACUCCGACGGCAAUGUGCUGACGAUCAGCGCUGACCUCGACCCUAAAUAGGAAGCCGUGCUCGUCGACUUUCUCCGUGCAAACACCGACAUGUUUGCAUGGAGUCCCUCGGAUAUGCCAAGCAUACCGAUGGAAGUCGCCGAGCACUCCUUGGAAAUUCGGGCCGGUUCCAAGCUAGUGAAACAACGGUUGCGUCGCUUCGACGAGGAGAAACGCAGGAUCAUUGGCGAGGAGAUCCACAAGCUUUUGGCGGCCGGAUUCAUCAAGGAGGUUCACCAUCCCGACUGGUUAGCAAAUCCUGUACUAGUUAAGAAAAAGAUUGGGAAAAUGAGGAUGUGCGUCGAUUAUACAAGUUUAAAUAAAGCAUGUCCGAAAGUUCCCUUCCCAUUACCACGUAUUGAUCAAAUUGUUGAUUCUACUGCGGGAUGUGAAACCCUUUCUUUCCUUGAUGCAUAUUCUGUUUACCAUCAAAUAAAAAUGAAAGAGUCCGACCAGCUCGCGACAUCUUUCAUCACGCCUUUUGGGAUGUAUUGUUAUGUAACCAUGCCGUUCGGGCUUCGAAAGGCGGGAGCAACAUACCAGCGAUGCAUGCUCCACGUGUUCGGCAAGCACAUAGGGUCGACAGUCGUGGCAUACGUCGACGACAUCGUCGUCAAGUCGAAACAACAAGGAGACCUGAUUCAAGAUCUCGAGAUCGCUUACACGCCAACAAGAUUAAGCUCAACCUCGAGAAAUGCGUCUUUGGUGUACCCCGAGGCAUGGUCCUGGGAUACAUAGUCUCCCAACGCGGCAUCGAGGCCAAUCCUGAGAAAGUCUCGGCCAUCACGGGAAUGGGGCCGAUCUGAGACGUCAAGGGAGUGCAAAAGAUCACAGGAUGUUUGGCGGCGCUAAGUAGUUUUAUCUCGAGGUUGGGAGAAAAAGCAUUGCCGCUGUAUAGGCUCUUGAAAAAAGCCGAGCGUUUCUCUUGGACCCUCGAAGCCGAGGAGGCCCUCGAUAACUUGAAGAAAACACUGACCUCGGCCCCGGUCCUGGUCCCGCCUCAACCUGCAGAACCUCUGCUUCUGUACGUUGCCUCGACGACCCAGGUCGUUAGUGCGGCAGUGGUGGUCGAAAGGCAGGAGGAGGGACAUACGCUGCCAGUCCGAGGCCGGUCUAUUUCAUCAGCGAAGUGCACUCAGAGACCAAGGCACAGUACCCACAGAUCUAGAAGCUAAUCUACGCCGUGAUUCCCGCCCGACGAAAGCUGCAACACUACUUCCUCGGCCACCCUAUCACGGUGGUCUCAUCCUUCCCCUUGGGUGAGAUCAUCCAAAGUCGGGAGGCCAUGGGGAGAAUUGCCAAAUGGUCGAUCGAGCUCAUGAGUGAGACCCUCACUUAUGCGCCUUGCAAAGCCAUCAAUUCUCAAGCUCUGGCGGAUUUCGUCGCAGAGUGGACGGACUCCUAGCUCCCCCCGGCUCAAGUCCAAGCGGAACUAUGGACGAUGUAUUUCGACGGGUCUCUCAUGAAGACAGGAGCUGGAGCAGGCCUGCUAUUCAUCUCACCCCUUGGCGUCCAUAUGAGGUACAUUAUCAGAAUACACUUUGCUACAUCCAACAACGUCGCGGGGUACGAGGCCCUUGUCAAUGGUCUGAAGGUCACCAUCGAGCUAGGAGUUCGACGCCUCGACGUUCGAGGUGACUCCCAACUUGUCAUCGACCAAGUAAUGAAGGCCUCCAACUGCCACGACCCGAAAAUGGAGGCGUACUGCAAGGAGGUAUGUCGCCUCGAGGAUAAGUUCCACGGCCUCGAGCUCAUUCAUAUCGCCCGACGCUACGACGAGGCAGCCGACGAACUCGCCAAGAUCGCCACGACUCGUAGUACGGUCCCGCCCGACGCGUUCUCAAGAGAUCUGCACGAGCCUUCCGUCGACUUGGGGUUGGGGGCUGGCAUAGAAACCACCGCCCUCCAACAAACCGACUCCAUCGAGGCUCUGGUAGCGGCAGCAGAGGUAAUGGAAGCAGAACAGCAACCCGGUCGACCGUUCGACUGGCGUACGCAGUUCUUCGACUGCCUGAUUCGUUGCGAGCUACCAGAAGAUCGAUCCGAAGCCCGCCGUAUCGCUCGAUGGGCCAAGUCAUACAUAAUCUACGGUGAAGGCAAUGGGCUAUACCGACGAAGCCCGACGGGAAUCUUGCAGCGUUGCAUCACCAUAGAGGAAGGCCGAAAGCUUCUCGAGGACCUACACUCGGGGGCUUGUGGGCACCACGCCGCUCCGCGGACCCUCAUAGGGAACGAAUUCCGACAAGGUUUCUACUGGCCAACGGCCGUAGCUGACGCCAUCGAGCUCGUACGCUCAUGCCAUGGGUGUCAAUUUUAUGCCAAGCAGACGCAUCUUCCCGCCCACGCUCUCCAGAUGAUCCCCAUCAUGUGGCCGUUCGCGGUGUGGGGACUCGACCUAGUGGGGCCUCUACAAAAGGCAGCAGGAGGAUACACCCAUUUGCUGGUGGCCAUCGACAAGUUCUCCAAAUGGAUCGAGGCUCGACCCAUCACGAACAUCCGCUCCGAGCAAGCCGUCCUUUUAUUCACCGACAUCAUCCACCGGUUUGGGAUUCCCAACGUCAUCAUCACCGACAACGGCACUCAGUUCACUGGCAAGAAGUUCUUGGACUUCUGCGAUCGGCAUCACAUCCGUGUGAACUGGUCUGCAGUGGCCCAUCCUCGAACUAACGGCUAGAUAGAGCAUGCCAACGACAUGAUUUUGCAGGGGCUUAAACCGAGGAUCUACGACCGCUUGAAGAAAUUCGGAAAGAAAUGGGUCAAAGAGCUCUCUUCGGUCCUAUGGAGCCUGAGGAUGACACCGAGCAUGGCCACAAAAUACACCCCAUUCUUCAUGGUCUACGGCUCUGAGAUCGUGCUCCCAACGGACCUCGAGUAUGGGUCCCCUCGACUCAAAGCAUACAACGAGCAAUCAAACAAGGAGACUCGAGAGAAUGCAGUCGACCAACUCGAGGAAGCUCGAGACAUGGCCCUCCUCAACUCCGCCAGAUACCAGCAGAAGCUUCGACGCUAUCACGACAAGCACGUGUGCAAAAGAGAUCUGAACGUGGGCGAUCUUGUCCUGCGGCGGCGGCAAAGCAACCAAGGGCGCCACAAGCUGACUCCGCCCUGGGAAAGCCCGUACGUGGUGGCCGAGGUCCUGAAGCCGGGGACAUACAAGCUAGCGGACGAAAAAGGGGCAGUCUUCACCAACGCAUGGAACAUCGAACAGCUAUGUCGAUUCUACCCCUAGAAUUUCAAAGCUUUAUAUUCCUAUGUACAUUCUGUACCGAGACCUUACGAAUGAACACAUGAAUGGAUAAGACGUUUCCCUCGAGUACUUCACUUUUUCGAUUGAUUGAAAUUUCGACGUUAGAAGGGAGUACCAACUAUGACCCAUCACAGUCGAUACCCCCUCGGGGGCUAGCAGGGGGGUGCCCCCCAUGUGUCAAAAAAACCAAGUAAUUCUUUCGAUCCUAUUAGUAAACCUCGCACGGUCGAGUAGUAAAGGCACCUCGAGCCCCUUGAGGGCCGAGAGACAACGAGCCUGAGAACUCCUACGCCCCCGGGCUAUGGAAACUCUACUCGCUCCCUCACCCUCGAGGCAAUCAGGGUCGCUUUAACAAAAGACCAAGCGGGGAAUACAGACAUAGGCAGAAAAGGAAACGAAGGAACCUCGAGCGGAAAGACGAGCAUAUAUUCACAGAUCUUAUAAACCAAUUAAAAACAUAGUAUCACUUAAGACAGGAUAAUAAAGUACUGUACAAGGGGCCUCAGCACCCAGAGUAGGCUCGCAGGCCUCAGUCUGUGUCUCGGCCCUCACCACCGUCAUCCGCGCCCGAGCUAGUCUCGGGAGGAAGUACUUCCGGCUUGAAUAACUUCGCCAGCCUUUCCCCAGGAGCCUCCGCGUCAUUGACCAAGGCAUGGAGCCUCUCCUCGUUCUCCGCGUCGGUCUUAGAGAUGUUGGUGACGAAGCCGUGAGACACCACCUCCAUAUCGUAGGAAAAGCCUGAGCAGACAACCGCCAUUGCCCACUUUACCCCAGUAUGAAGGGCGUCCCGCACCCGGUCCCUCACCGUAUCGCCUAGAUAGCAUAGCUGGUCGACCAGUGCGUCACCUCGAGCCUCCUCCCUUGACUUGUCCAUGGGUUUGAGGUCCCAAGAGGUUGAGAGAUCACUUAUCGCCGUCCGCAGUCGACGGUUCAAAGCGACCUCCCACUCGAGCUGAGCCUUGGUGGAGCGGGCCUCGACUUGAGCGGCAAGCAGCUCAUCUUUAAGCCCUACAAGGACCGACACGGAGAAAUUAGACAACACAAAGCACAUCUCAGAAAGGAAACUCAAUAAUGGAAACAUACCAUGAAUUCUCUCCUCUAGAGCCGUAUUCUCGCCGACUAAGUUGGUGUUGGCCCUCUCGAUCUCCUUGUUGGAGCGUGCCAGCUCGGUGUUGGUGAAGCGCAGGUCCUCGAUCACCUUGCCGGCCUGCGCGAUGGCUCCAUCUUUCUCCAGCAGCGCUCUCUUCAGACGAUCGACGUCGUCAGAGAGGCUGCCAGACCGAGUCCGCUCCACCUCGAGAUCCUCAAGAGCCUUCUUCUUGGCCUCCUCCGCGGCGCUCCAGGCAAUCUCGCCAUUCAUGCACUCCACGUUCAUCCUUUGGAAGGAUUCCCUGGUGGAGGCAAGGUCAGUCUUGAGGAGGCCCUUCUCCUUGUCCAGGUCAGCGGCCACAUUCUUGUAAGACAAGGCCUCGUCCUCGCCAUUCCCUCAGCAGCGCGGCAUCUUCCACCGCCUUCCUCGAGGCCUCUCGAGCCUCAGCCAGAGCUACCUCCCUCUCCUUCUUCUCCUCCUCAAGCACCAAAAGCUCCUUGUAGGCCUUGAGGAGCUUCUCCUGCGACUCCAGGAGUUGGUCCUUGAGACUGGGGAGUUCCUCCCAGCCGCCUCUCGUCGCGUGGAUGAAGCUCGACUUGAUACGGGAGGUUUCUUUCAGAUCCUGCGAGCCAGCAGUUAGAUAGUAAGAAUACAGAACCAAAACGCCCUAUAGCAACUAAGAUCCCAAAGACACUUACAAAGUAGGCCGGACCAAGCCUGUUGUGGACGACGUCAGACAAGAGCCCCACCACGUGCUUCACCCACAGGCGGAGCUCCUCGAGGUGUUCCCACUUUUCGGCCUCCUUCCGAUCAUCCAAAAAGAUGUUGGGCUCGGACGGAUCGGUGGAGGCCCGAAUGCGGAUCUGGUCGGGGCACCAGUUCUCCAUCUCCUGAUCAGCGCGCGCCUUGACGCCCCGGAUGUGCUCCUCGAUGGUCUCGGCCGACCCCCCGUGGCGCAAGAACAGGUCGACGAGGGAGGGGAACCGCCCGUUGUCAUCCACCGUCUUCCAAGUUCCCGUUUCACUGGCAUAGCCGCCGCCUGACGUCCCAGCCUCAUCUUCCUCGGUGGGAAUACGGUCCUCCCACGACCGACGCUCUCGAAGGAACCCGGAAGCGAUCCCGUCGAUGCCAUAGAUCGUCCCUUUAAUCUCUGACUGGGGGUCGACGAGGGUACGCAUCAUACAGGCGAGCGCCACCACGCCGUCCACCCGCCGUGACUAGGCUGGGAUCGAAGCGGGCGCUCCAGGACGGAGCCACGCCGGGGUCGGCAGACCGUAAACCGGCAGACCCUCCUCCUCGGUUGCAGGCUCUUGUGGCGUUGGCGGCACUGGCUGGGGCGGACUACGAGGUGGUUGCUCGAGCAGUCCCCCUAACUGCUGGCUCCUCUGCCGCUGCUGCUCCAGGAGCUCCCGCAGCUCCUGCUGCCGGUCCUGCUCUAGCAGCUCCUCGAGCUGGGGUCCUUCCGGCCGUCGCUCCUCCUCUCCUUCUUCCUGCUGCAGCUCCUGCUCGCGUUCCUCCUCCUCCCUUUUUCUCUGCUCCUCGAUGGAGUGGAGCCCGGUGGGCCAAGGCGUUCGCUUCGCGAUAGGAGAAGCCUCGACUUCCUCGUCCGUAGGACGGGCAUCCUUCGAAGGCCCGUCGCCACCGGACCCAUCACUUAUUGUGAUAGGAUCCCCCUCGACCUCAGAUCGGGGAGGCUCGGGGGCUCCCUCCUGCUCUUGGGGGCGAGGCGCCUCGACCCGUUUCGGUGACGGCGGGGUGGACUCCCCCGUCAAUGGGCGAGGCGGGGCGCUCUCGGCACCAGUCGGCGGCCGAGGGUCGGAGGAGCCUGAAAGCACUCUAAGGCAAAAAGUCAGUCGUCAUGAUGAUCGACAUAAAGACAACACAACUCCCAUAACGACGGGAAUGAACUGCUAACGUGAAUCUUUGGAGGCCGCUCCCACCUUAAGUCUUUUGGCCAUCGAGGGCUGGGCCUGUUUGAGUGUCCGUUUCAACCUGAGGAGAGAGGAACGGGCAUGAGAGAGGCCAUUACCUGAGAAAACGCAAAGACUUAGGAAGAUGAGAAUCAUAACGUCGAAAAUCUUACCCCACAGGGAGAACGGCCCGCCUGCCGGUACCUCGACCGACAGGCCUCGAGCCGCCCCACGUAAAAGCUCUAGGCCCCUCACAAACGGGCGCAGGCUCGGCAUCUCCCGCCUAGUGAGCGCCAGGGCUAGCGCUCCUGCGGCUUGCUUCCCCCUUGCUGGAAGCCGCGGCCGCGGGUCAGCGGCCCCAUCGCCACGGACUUAGCCCGGUCGUCCGCCUUUGACGCAGGGGGAGGUUGGGGGCGCGGGACAGCCCAGCUUGGUGCAGGCUCUGGGGGAGUAUCGGCGCGGGAGCAGUGUGGGGACCCGCGUGGCCUCUUUUGGGGGCUCCCGUCCGAGGGGCGUCGACGUCGGUCCGAGGCGAACCCUCAAGAAUCCUGUCAAGACGGGACGCCAUCCCCUCGGAGUCAUCGCUGUCGUCGUCUUCAUCGCCGCCAUCGUCCUCAUCGGGGGACUCUUCCUCAGGCUCCCCCCUCUAUCUAGACUUUGCUCGGCGUGUCUCCAGCGCUUGGCGCUCGAGAUUCUUCUUCUUCUCCUUCUUCUUUUUUAAGUCCAUUGCGGACUUCUGCUUCUCAGCGGACUCUGGCCGCUUGUCACGAUCGACCUCGUCCUCCUUUACCGGGGGCUUGGAAGAUCGAGCAUCAAUCGAUCCCUGCACGAGCAAAGGUAAGUCUUAAAAGAAGAUCGAAGGAAAUCGACGAUCGGAACCGUAAACAGGAAAAGGAACUAACCAGGUCGAUCGACCCCUGGUCGGGCCUCAUAGGAAGCCGUUGACGUGCUUGGGCUGGAAAUCGACUGCAACAGCCGCCCUAACCCUGGCGGCGACCUCAUCGUCCGCGGGUGCCUCGUUGGACAUCCGGCACGCCUCGAGAUCCUGGGACGAAACGCUGGGACCCAUCUCGUCCAUCCUCAGUGGCCGAGACAUCAAUGGGAGAACCCUCCGAUGAUGGACGGCCGAGAGGACAAGAGCGGCAGUGAGGCCUUCCUCGCGUAGCUUCUUCAGGGCGUUGAGGAGGGGGUCGAGCCGCGAUUGGUGAGCCUGGACGACGCCGUACUUCCAGUGAUCCGGACGCUCUGAGAUCAGACGCCCGGUGUAGGUAGGAAGGAGGUCAUUGUUGACGGUCCUUAAGUAUCAAAUUUAAUUAUCAAAUAAACAAAGAAAAAGAUCCAAAUGAAAUCAACAUCUAGACUUAGGGUUUUAUCUGACAGAAUUCCAUGAGUUUUGGUGUUUGUCUAUUUCUGCAGGGGGUUAUCAGGAAAUAAGGAAGAAAGGCCCACAUGUCGGGAUUACAUAGAGAUAUCAACCCACCGUGCAAUUUUCUACCAUCUAGAAGAAGACUCCAGAAGCCACGGGAAGGAAGCGGAGCCCGAAAGGGGCCAGGCCCAGGGCGCCCGCCCUGAGGACCUGGGCGCCCGCCCCACUCUGGACUCCGUUCCGGACUCUCUUCGCACACGACGUUCCACCGACCUAUUGGAUCCAGAAUAACAUAGUACCACCUCGCCUAUCGACCCAAAAACGCAUAGAAGGGGAGGACUAUAUAAGGAGACCCCCUCUGGCCCCUGGAGGAGACAAGAAAUUAUCAUAGAGAUUGAGGGGUGCCCUCGAAGGAAAACCUCUUCUCUAAAUAAUAUUUCUUUUUAGGCUUAGCAACCAAUGUAAGGUAGAAAUAGAUCUUCUAGUUUCUACUAGAUUGAGAGAGAUAGAGUGGAGGUGUGGAUCGGAUGAAGGCCGGCAUGUCGGUGUCUACUCCGAGUUGUACCUACGGGAUCAAGUCUCCUAACCCGAGGCUUGCUUCUAAGAUUCUUCAGUAAUUCGACUUCUAAUACUAGUAAGUUCUUGUUUUAUUGUUCUUUGGUUUAUGAGUUUACUUUAAUCCUCUUCCGGUUGAGUAUUAGAGUAAUCACUUGUUAGCGUAAACGUGGUGUUUAGGCUAGGGUACUCAUAGAUAUCCCCUGACUAGCUGGACCGUGGUAGUAGCGAGGAACGUGACAUUUCCGAGUUACCUUUGUAGAUCACAUCUCGUUAGCAGGACGGGUAGGGUUAUAGGUGCGGGUCGAACAUCCUUUGUGUUGUCUAGAUUCCGUGAGCCUCCCCAAUAGAACAGUAGAUCAUCCUUACCAAGGUUAGAACGAGACUACGGUUGCAGUCUUCUCUAUACAUCACUCACAUCGAGAGACAUUCUUUGUAGCCUAAAGGGGUAGUAGCAAUAGAUUUGGUUAGUCAGAUGCACCCUUUCUCCCAGUGGUAAAAAUAUAAAUACGAUACUCUGGAAAAUCUCCCGGGUGAAAUGCUCACCGAUAUCCGUGCGCUUGCGGAUCAUUUCCUUAUUGCGUUACCAAUUAUCAACAAGCAUUUCUGGCGCCGUUGCCGGGGAGAAAGACGGUUUGCUGAGAUAACUUUGAAUCUUGCUAUUAUCUUGUAUUAUACUUUUAUACUAUUAUUCUUUUAUCUAUUUAUUUUUAUCUUUAUGGAUAACUCAAAUUCCAUACCUAUUAUUAAAUUCAUUGCACCUUCGGAGACCAGCCAUAGACCAUGGGAGUCAACACGUCCUGCCCCUAAUUAUGAUCUGUGUCCGGAGUUGAUUGCAAUAGGUCAAAACCAACCCUUUUCUAUAGCCGAGGUCCUAUCUUUUAAUCAAGAAGAUAAUGCACUUUUAGCUACACCUAGGGAAUCUUUUAAUCUUUCUAUAAAUUCUGGUUUAGACCUAGCCCUACAAGACCAUGUUUUUCCUAAAUAUUUUCACAUUGGUCUUAAUCAUAUAACCUUUGGUAGAGUCCUUCUUUCUUUAUCUAUUGGUAAAGGAAGGUAUGUCUUCAUUCGUGGACAUCCUUCUUGUACUAGUCUUCAUAGAAAAAUCUUAGAGAUAGAGAAGGAAUCAUCUCCCAGACAAGGAAAGGAAGUUUCAAUAGCCGAUUUCCAAACAUUCCAAUCCCAUGAUUCGGCUAUCCAUCCCAUCCUUGAGCUUAAUAGUUUCUACUAUGCUCUUUCUCUUGAACCUCCCGAUAAUCCUAUGAAUCUCUCUAGACAUCCCAUGCAUAAGAAGGAGGAUCGAGAAGAGCAACAUCAAUGGCUAGAGGGCAUUAAAAAUCCAUGUGCUAUCACCAUUGAAUGGAUAGAUAAAACAAACUUGAGAGACAAUCCUAGAGGAAUUUUAAACAUUCAAGAAGAAUCAUCCUUGGAGGUUGAGAAUGAGAGAAACAACAGUGAGCAUGGAAGUUAUUUCAUAAAUACCUCACCCAGUCCUUGCUCAUAUAAAACAUCUCUCCAAUCAAUUUGUCUCUCCAUCCUUACCACAUUUGAGAUCUCCAACCCCCUCUUCUUUUCUAUUUAUAAAAACUUUAAAAGGGUGGUUGUCGAUGCAUAUGUCUAUAAUAAAUAUUGCAGAUCUCGUUGAGUUAAUCGAUGGUUCCCCAAGGACAAGCUUAGUGUCCUAAAAAUAGCACUUCUAAUUAUUUGCUUAGUGUCCUAAACCAUUGCUUAAUUCGCACUGAUCAGAUCGUAACAUGAACUUCUAAUUAUUUGUAACAUUGCCUUGUGUAUUGAGCAUAUAAAGAUAAUUGUAGAAAUAUUCCUUCGGGUAUUCUUGUCACUAACCUUUCCAGGAUUGGAGCAAGAAGAUCGGAUGAAUGACAAGCACAAGGUAUGUCCAACCAACCAUCACACAACAUUGAAUUAAAUUCAUCCAAACUUGAAUUUUGCAAAAUUCAAGCUUGGGGGAGUACUUUACAUAAAAACAUCCUUUGCCAUGUUGCUACGUUGGUUGUCCCUACCUUUGAGAGAUGCUCAAUUUGUUAAGUACUAAUCACACUACUUCAUCUCCAAUUGAGUAGAUCUCUAUAAAUGCCAUCAUGCUACCUUUGUUUAUCCUAGUAAGUGUUGGUUUGGAAGUACUCGACAUACUUCCAUUGGCUUUUAAAUUAAGCAUGGUGCUUAGGUUAAACAGCCUUCCUUAAUCUGAUUAGACAUGGAGUCUAGUUUGGUUACUGAACUAAAAACUGCUUGAGUAGAUAUUGGUAUAUUUUGUGGGACUAACCCCUGCAGGAAAACUUUCAAUAUCAACCUGGGAAGUCCUGAGAUACAAACUCAUUGGAGAUAAAGGAGACACAUGAAAUUUAACAUUUUGCACAAGAAGGACAUAGCUCAUUCAUCAUAAAGAGAUGAUCCAUGGAGGGUGCCACAAACACGAUGCACAACCGCUAAGAAAGGAAAGCUUCCACAAGGUGAUACUAUACCAUCACUCUUCAAGUAAGGUAACAUCUUAAGGUACUUGACUAUCGCUUUUAUAAGCUUCGCCUUGGUUCUGGCAUUCACAUAAAUAAAGAGACAAACAUGUAUGAUUUAUAACUCUAAAUUAACCUAACUGAUUCAGCAUGUUUAGUCCUUUAAUCUUUGUUCUUAGCACUACCUUCGUGAUCUCACACUCCUAAUCAUAUAAGCUAAUAUGUUGCACAUUCAAUCUUUGGAAGAUAUAAACAAAACAUAAAUAUAGAUAGAUUAUCUUUCCAUUAGGUUGAGCCAUCUGAUCUAACAAAUGUUUUAAAUGCUACACUCAUGAUCCAUCAACUUUGUCUUGCUCAAUAUGCUUAAGGUUAGAGAAGAACAAAUACACUUUUGGUUUUGUUGGUGUUUUCCACCAACAGGGCCCAUGCACUUGAUCUCUACCUUGUCUCUAUGAGCAGGAACACUUCGAGCAUAAUAUGAAGGAGUUUUACAACUCCCAGAUUCUACCAAGUGAAGAACUAGGAUCUACGAGCACAAACACACUGGAGAUACUGGACGCUCAGGCAAUCAUUGCCCUAAGAUGCUUGAGGACGUGAACUACAUCAACAACAAUAACAACUAUUACUACAACCAUCCUCAACAACAUCAAGGUUGGAAUCAACAGAGGCCUAAUUACUCAGAGAGGUGAUCUAGGACGCCCCGUCAUCCCGAUCUCCAUCGGCAUGGUGGACUUCCCAGAAGCACUCUGCGACUUUGGCUCCAGCGUCAACAUUAUGCCCAGGGUUGCAGAUCGGACACUCAGUUUCCCAAAGGAAAUAUUGAAGAACCUUUGCGUCCGAGUUGGUACCUUGUUUGCUCUAGCAGACUUCAUGGUGAUAGAGACUGGUACUGAGGAGAGGGCACCCAUCAUCUUAGGGAGGCCAUUCCUAAACACUAGAGCUGUCAUCUACGCUAAUGCUGCCAAGAUCAGUCUCUACAUCAAGGGGAAGAAGGAGACUUUCCUUCAAGAACAAGACUACACAAACUUUAGAGCAACCCUGACAUGAACCAAGGAAGAGGACCAACAGGAGGAACAGGAACAAGCAAAUGUGGACUGAGUCAGCUAAGAUGGUCACUGCAGUUCAAAAAGGUCAAGAUCGUCGACUCGAGUCGCCAUUCCUGAUCAAGAAGGACAACCCUAGUGUUCUAAGUAUUGAGUGCACAAUCAAUAGAUACUCUUUUUAGAAGACACUCUAUGACACCGGAUCUGAUGUCAACAUAAUGGCCGCAGUCACUUAUCAGCUCCUGCAUGGAACCAUGCUCCUACAACCAGCAUACAUUCAGCUCCAGAAAAUUUUCAGGUCAUUGACAUGGGAGAAGACGAGUAUGAUCCACCCACCAUCCUUGGAAGACCGUUCCUCAACACUAUCAAAGCCAUCAUCUAUAUUGGAACCGGAGAAGUCCACAUGCACUUCCUCUCUGAGAAGGUACGCCACUACUUUAAUGAUUCUAACUAUAUAGUUGAGGAUUCUAAGCAGGUCAGGACAAGAAGAAGACAACGCAACCGCAACCAGAGGAGGCAGAUCAUCAAGGACGGAUGGGUAGACUACGAAGGAGAAGUGAAAAGGUCUGAACACAUACGGCUUGAAUAGAACUGUCCUGAGGAGACCGUAGCACCGAGUCAGGUGUGGAGAGAGAAGAUAGUUAUACACGACGAAGAGGCGCCGUCGGAAUCACCGACUACGCCACCUAGCGAAUCCCAGGACGACUAAGAAAACGGAGAGUCCCGUUCGGAGAACUUAAAAAUACCAAACGCCUUGCCAAGAGGUAAACUUGGUAGUUAUGCUUUUCCAUUCAAUAGUUUGCUUAGUUAAUCAGGUUCAUGCUAUCUUGAAAAGAAAAUAAAUGUUAAAAAAUAGUAAGCCCCAUGUGAGUAUGCUCAUGGCAUAAAACCCAUAAGUACAUUCACUGUGGUGGCAUGAAAAUAAAAUAAAUAAGUUUUCAUCUUACAAUAAAAAUAUAAAAAUAAUAAGUGCAUGAUCCUGCUAAAUAAGUAAUAUUGAGGAGGCUCAACAUGAUAAAGGCUAGAUAUUUAUGCUAACACUUAAUUAGUUCCACAAGCUUUGUUGUCUAUUUGAGCUCCACAGAAUUUAAGAAUCAAGAAGACUAGCAGACGGAGGACAUUCUAAUCGCUGUCAAAAUACUGCUGACUUUCAAACACACCUCUGCCACCUGCUAGCUACAUCAAGAGAAAUUACAUCAAAAUUCAGCUUGGGGGAGAGCACCCCCAUUUUUCUCGAUAAGUAUUUCUAUCUAUCUUUAUACUUAUACUAUAUUAGAAUAUAAAUACACAUAACUAUGAAAAACCAAAUAAAGAUUUUAUGCUUAUAUAUAUUUUGCUUAGUAUGUUUAAUAAAUAAAUAAAGUGGCUAUGCUAAUCUGUAUCUAAUAAAACUUAAGCAUGGAUAUGAUGAAUAGUUGCUCUGCCUAAUUUGCAAAUUUGAAGUUCUCUCUCAAGUUUAGAUAUAACUGUUAUAAUUUAAGGCUUGCUCUAGACCUAAACUUGUGGGAUGAAAACUUGAGCUGAAGUCUAAGUUGUUAACGGAUACGAUAUGGGAAGGUUGAGCUGCUGUUUAUCUGUUCUUAGAGAUGCUAGAAUUCUGGAGAAUUUUAUCUUUGAAAAUCUUUAAAAUGUUGCAUGAUGAGUUCCUGUAUGAUGAGAGUUUAAAUUCCUACCACAGCCACAUAUACAUGCUUGCUAGACCUUGAGCCACACAUUUACUAUUUACUGCUUAUGAGCAUUGAGUGUGGUCAAGCUGUGUAGACCCUUAGGAGCUUGUCAUGUGGUUAAAUCAAGAUUCACUUGCACGUUCACUCAUACAUGCUACUUCUACUCCGGAAGUACCAUCCACAUAUAUCCACUCGUUUCCAUCUCCAAAACCACCCAAAAGUAUUCUACUCCUAAUCCGGGAGAGAAUAACCAAAAAUAUUUCUGUUUCCCCUUGUGAAAUAAAUGCUCAAGUUAUCUUGUUACUACCACUUGCUACAUUAUUUCAGGAGAUGAGUGCUCUAGAAAAAAAAAGAGAAAAAAAAAGAAGAAGAAAAAAAAGAAAAUAAAAGAUACGAGGAAAUAAAAAGGAGCAAGUGCUCGGAACCUCGAAAGAAAAGAAAAAGUAAGACGAGAGGUAAAAAUGGACAAGUGUCCGACAGUAGAAUUAGGGGUGCAAGAUACCCACCUGAGAGAAAAAAAGAAGAUCAUCUCAUUCUCCUCAUAAAAUUUCAAAAGCAAGGAAGGUAUGUAUCCCCUCAAAGAGCAAAGUAGAAUUAGACUUCCACCACCAUUGUUAUCACCAUCAUCACCAUACACCAUUCAUUCGCCACACAUGCACAUCUUGAUUUGGCUUAUUGAUUUGUUUCUUUGGAUCCAUGGUUUGACUAUGCAAUAAAUGUCUUGUAAGUAUGUAUACUUUAUCUCCUACCUAUGAGCUCCAGAUAUUAAAGUCUUAUUAGAGUAGGGUGAGAGAGAAGACAAUGUCACUAUGCUUCAUACCACAAAUACUACAUAUCUUGAGAGAAGGCAUAUACCAUCACUGCCUUGGUAAGGAUCCAAAAAUACCACAAAAGAGAGACCUGAGAGAAUCAUACAAGGAAUUUCUGAGUUUUAUUUGAAAAUCUGCAAAAACCCCAGAGCUAUAGCUGAUCAAGAAUAAGAGACAUGGCACUUGGCUAGACUGUUCUAUCUUUUAACCACUCAAGACAGAAGUGACGGUUACAAGUCCUAUGGUGUAGGUAAAGUAAGUAAGUUUUAAGUCUUAACAGUUUACUCUAACCCAGAGAUGAGAUCUUAUUUAAAAGCAUGUGUACCGUCAAAUUUUUAAAGAUAUUGCAACUACUUAUGAUCCAUAGCUGAGUCUAUCCUUGCUCAGGGACGAGCAAGAGGUAAGCUUGGGGGAGUUUGUUGACGGUCCUUAAGUAUCAAAUUUAAUUAUCAAAUAAACAAAGAAAAAGAUCCAAAUGAAAUCAACAUCUAGACUUAGGGUUUUAUCUGACAGAAUUCCACGAGUUUUGGUGUUUGUCUAUUUCUGCAGGGGGUUAUCAGGAAAUAAGGAAGAAAGACCCACAUGUCGGGAUUACAUAGAGAUAUCAACCCACCAUGCAAUUUUCUACCAUCUAGAAGACUCCAGAAGCCACGGGAAGGAAGCGGAGCCCGAAAGGGGCCAGGCCCAGGGCGCCCGCCCUGAGGACCUGGGCGCCCGCCCCCCUCUGGACUCCGUUCCGGACUCUCUUCGCACACGACGUUCCACCGACCUAUUGGAUCCAGAAUAACAUAGUACCACCUCGCCUAUCGACCUAAAAACGCAUAGAAGGGGAGGACUAUAUAAGGAGACCCCCUCUGGCCCCUGGAGGAGACAAGAAAUUAUCAUAGAGAUUGAGGGGUGCCCUCGAAGGAAAACCUCUUCUCUAAAUAAUAUUUCUUUUUAGGCUUAGCAACCAAUGUAAGGUAGAAAUAGAUCUUCUAGUUUCUACUAGAUUGAGAGAGAUAGAGUGGAGGUGUGG